GACGAACGCUGGCGGCGUGCUCAACACAUGCAAGUCGAACGGAAAGGCCCUGCUUUUGUGGGGUGCUCGAGUGGCGAACGGGUGAGUAACACGUGAGUAACCUGCCCUUGACUUUGGGAUAACUUCAGGAAACUGGGGCUAAUACCGGAUAGGAGCUCCUGCUGCAUGGUGGGGGUUGGAAAGUUUCGGCGGUUGGGGAUGGACUCGCGGCUUAUCAGCUUGUUGGUGGGGUAGUGGCUUACCAAGGCUUUGACGGGUAGCCGGCCUGAGAGGGUGACCGGCCACAUUGGGACUGAGAUACGGCCCAGACUCCUACGGGAGGCAGCAGUGGGGAAUAUUGCACAAUGGGCGGAAGCCUGAUGCAGCAACGCCGCGUGCGGGAUGACGGCCUUCGGGUUGUAAACCGCUUUCGCCUGUGACGAGGCGUGAGUGACGGUAAUGGGUAAAGAAGCACCGGCUAACUACGUG
This 468-nucleotide ribosomal RNA is filed under the name uncultured bacterium. RNAcentral describes it as "partial 16S ribosomal RNA". It matches the Rfam family "Bacterial small subunit ribosomal RNA", at positions 28 to 507 of the family's 1533-position model. The record is from RNAcentral.